RNAcentral lists this ribosomal RNA (468 nucleotides) under uncultured bacterium. Its description in RNAcentral is "partial 16S ribosomal RNA". It matches the Rfam family "Bacterial small subunit ribosomal RNA", at positions 28 to 507 of the family's 1533-position model. The record is from RNAcentral.
GACGAACGCUGGCGGCGUGCUUAACACAUGCAAGUCGAACGGAAAGGCCCUGCUUUUGUGGGGUGCUCGAGUGGCGAACGGGUGAGUAACACGUGAGUAACCUGCCCUUGACUUUGGGAUAACUUCAGGAAACUGGGGCUAAUACCGGAUAGGAGCUCCUGCUGCAUGGUGGGGGUUGGAAAGUUUCGGCGGUUGGGGAUGGACUCGGGGCUUAUCAGCUUGUUGGUGGGGUAGUGGCUUACCAAGGCUUUGACGGGUAGCCGGCCUGGGGAGGGGACCGGGCACACGGGGACUGAGGGAGGGCCCAGACUGCAACGGGGGGCAGUGGGGGGGAGCCUGGUCCAACGGGGGGAAGCGCGAUGCAGAGGCGCCGCGGUCGGGAUCAGGGCCUGGCGGGUGCAAAACGCUGUCCGCUGUUACCGAGCGUGAAUGACGGUAACGGGUAAAGAAGCACCGGCUAACUACGUG